UCAAGGUUUUGUCCUUCUGCACCAAAAUUCUCCAGUCAAUACAGGCAUAUUUUUAGAUCACCUAGCAACCGGCCCUCUCCUGAAAUAAAACGUGAAGGCGGGGCAGUGUCAUAUUAAACUUGUGUGUCUGUGCUUCCGCUGGUGCUGUGUGUGUGUGUGUGUGCGUGCGUGUUCCAGAGGAAGGCCUGCGGUUGUUUGUCGGCCCAGGAGGAAGCACUGCCCUCGGAAGCCAUCACCUGCCCACCAGGGUUGGCGCCGGAGCUUACGAGCAGGUGGUGAUGAAGCGCUAGGACGUCUUCCCGGAAGCUUCCGGAGACAAGCGACGCAGCAGAGGUCUAGAACCACAGAGGCAGGGGGAGGUUGGCGAGUGGAUCCAGCCUUGGAGUUUCAUCUCCUCCAGCAGUGCAGGACCCCAGACCUGGUCCUGGAACAACAGGCACGGCAGCAGAACCUCUCGUGUGUUUCUGAAAGACAUGGUUGUCCUCUUGUUAGAUUAGCCUUGUCUUCUUGUUGCCGUGGAGACUAUACCUAUGACAUCAUCUUCAAAGGGACUUGAAUGGAAACUGGAGUUCUAGUUUAGAUGGUCACGAUGGAUCUGUCUGUUGAAUGUCUGCAGAUGUAGGAGAAUGGGAGUUGUUGUAUUUGUAAUAAUUAAGCCUUUCCUGAUAAGGAAAACGCCAUGCUUUUUUGAAAUACAUUCCCUAGUUUCUAGUCUAUUGUUCAGUGAUGUUUCAAUCCUAUUUUGGGUUGCCUUUUAACUUUUUUUGAUUUUUAUAAGCUGCUAAAAGCUGUUGUAUUUGGUCUGUCAAGUCCAACUCUGUUGUUGUUUUGGGGUGAAGACGACACUUUGCUACCCCGACACAGCCCUAUCAGACUCUGGUGAUGGUUUGUGUGCAUGCCUCUGUGUGCGUGACUGUAUGCCCAUCUGAGUCAUUGUCUCUGUUGUAGGUGGCAUUACCACUAUGUCUUUUCCAGUUAACAGUUAAGCCUGUCUACAGCACCAGUCUUGGGGUUGGAAGUGAGUCGGUAGAUUCUGAAGGUAACCCUGUUUUGCUGAGGUGUUGGAGAAAGGGUAUCAUUACAGGCAAGACUCCAAUCCUUAGCAAAAUCAAGCCGUUCUUUCAUAUAUAUAAAUAUAUAUAUAGAUAUUAUUUUAUUUUGGCCUGAUGAAAGGAGUAAGGUUAGGUUUAAGUUUACCUACUCCUGGAAGUAUAUUUGGUACUAAGAUCCAAGAUGUUAUUUUUGCAAGUUCAGUUCUUCUAGUCAAACUGAGUUAUACGUUUUAUAUUAACAAUGUCAAGGGCAAGUUGUCAAUACAUCCACUGCCAGUGGGAAUCACCUGCAGUGUCCAAAUAAAUACUGUGGUCCAUCUAGGUUACUGCAGCAGCAUAUCAACUUCGAAAUAUUUAGUAGGCUAUUUUCUGAAAAACUGGGUCUUGCAUUACUAGACUGACUUUGGAGAAAACCACUACCUGGUUUCAUGAACACAGACCUGGUUCAUCUCAGUAAGUGUGUGGGUGUAACUAAUAUUCAUAAGAUUAAGGUACAAAUAAAUACUGUAUAUGUACUAAUGAGUAUGUGAUCAUCUGUGUGUGUUGAAAGCCAUACCAGAAGUAACUCUGUACUUACCUCUGUUAUACUGUAAUUGUAUACGUUGAUUUCUGCACAAAUGUCAUCAAUGUAUGGUAUUAUUACUGUGAAAUAAUCUGUUUUGCUUUGUGUACAUUUCUAUGUUUGCAUGGUUUUGAUGUCAUUUCAGUGAAUUGAAGAGCAUCAAGUCUAUUUUCCCAUAACUGGGGGAUCUCUACAGUGCUUUGUAAAUUGUUUUAGUAAAAGCACAACUGUUCCAGUGCAAUUCCUUCUACUGUGUAGCCAUUUAAGCUAUGUAAAAGGUGGAAUUCAUUUCAUGCAAGAUUAAUUUACCCAAAAUGUAAGAGAACGGUCAAUCAAAACAUUCACGCCAUGCUACUCUGUAUAUCACAUAUAUCAUUUGCUGCCAAAUGUCACUCCAAACUCCCUUAACUGUGGAUCAGCCGUUAUUGCUUUUUUCAGAGGAAAAACUCAUACACAAAACAGGUUUUUCAGGUUUUUUUUUUUUUUUCCAGUUUUAACAUGUUACAAACAUGACCACCCUUUCUCUUCUGUGAAGCUGUGAGGAACUGUACGAUGUGAUCUCGUGUCAUGUGACGUUUGACUGACAGUGUUGUGCCCCUGUAGAACAGUGGUUCUCAAUCCUGGUCCUCGGGACCCCCUUCCCUGCAUGUUUUAGAUGUUUCCCUCCUCAAAUACACCUGAUUACAAUUUAGUGGGUUGUUAUCAAGCCCAUUAAUUUGAAUCAGGUGUGUUGGAGCAGGGAAAUAUCUAAAACAUGCAGGGCAGGGGGUCCCGAGGACCAGGAUUGAGAACCACUGCUGUAGAAGACAUCUUGUUGACCCACGUUUGCUUCUUCACCGAGUACUGUAUGCUUUGUGUGCCAUGCACUGUUGAAUAAAACGUUCGAUUCACAA
Long non-coding RNA from Hypomesus transpacificus, 2507 nucleotides. RefSeq lists it as uncharacterized. The transcript has 2 exons. The record is from RefSeq and is a predicted model, not a curated record. NCBI's taxonomy places the organism in Eukaryota, Metazoa, Chordata, Actinopteri, Osmeriformes, Osmeridae.